Molecule: long non-coding RNA, 1020 nt
Organism: Rhagoletis zephyria (snowberry fruit fly)
Lineage: Eukaryota; Metazoa; Arthropoda; Insecta; Diptera; Tephritidae
Source: RefSeq, a predicted model, not a curated record
CGCACCACAUUCACGCGCAUUCAUUCAUUGACUCACAAACACCAGCACGGACCACCUGAGUAUCGAAUGCACCACCGAAACAGGCAGAGCAAGGCAAAAGAAGGUAGGACAUUUUGCACCAACAAUCAGUCGGACCGGGCCACACUGCCUGGCUGGCUGGCUGGCUGGUUGGGGACAGUUUCAAAUAUUUGCUGUUUGUUGGAAUGUGUGUGCGCUUGUUUUUUUUUCGUGCGGGGCAUGCAACGUGCGCCACUGUGUUUACUAACAAACACACAUGCGCGCGUCAAUCGACCAGCGAAGAGAUUACCUGUACUACGCGUGUAUUGGUGAGUUGAGAUUUCCGAUCUCCGGCUCCGAUUGCAGUCGUCGUCGUCGUUGUCGUGGUCGUCGUGGUCGUUGCUACAAUUAAGAAUGUGUGAAAAAGAGCAUAAACGUCCGUAAAUAUUAACUAAUUGCUCUUGUUUUGCCCCCACUUUAGUUGAUCUGACGCAGAUAUUCCAAGUCAGAUGCGAAGGAUGGCACACCCAGCGUAGGAAGAUCGAGAAUUUGUUAAAAGCUUCGUUGGAAGUUUGUGUCUUAAGUCUUUUGUUUGCUAUCGGCGAGAACCCUCAUUGGUCGGGACAGUGUUGACAGAUCUUGGCGUCGGCUCGCGACUGCGGACGCUUGUAGACAAAUACUAGAAUGCGGGGUAGUUAAGGUUAAUCCGGUUGGAGUAGCGACGAGUAGGUUUGUCAGCAGGCAUACGCCUGCUAGCAGCCAUCAGACUCCGGAAAUUAUCCAGCUGGAAAACAGACCCCGUGGUCAUACUAAAAUUUGGAUGGGCUUCGGCCGCCGGAAUUAACGGACUACUGAGUGCCAACCACAUCCUGCAAAUCCCUAGCAGGAAUCAACGACCACAGCACUUACUGCAUUGCUACACUGGAGGUUCUAAAAUGGAAACCGAAACCGGAAGGAGAGUUUACUAAGAACAAAUAGGAGUAAAAAAAUCUUUCCGCCUAGCCUCUUCCAAACCGUACUGCC